RNAcentral lists this ribosomal RNA (509 nucleotides) under uncultured bacterium. Its description in RNAcentral is "partial 16S ribosomal RNA". It matches the Rfam family "Bacterial small subunit ribosomal RNA", at positions 899 to 1397 of the family's 1533-position model. The record is from RNAcentral.
ACUCAAAUGAAUUGACGGGAAUCAGCACAAGCGGUGGAGCAUGUGGUUUAAUUCGAUAAAACGCGCAAAACCUUACCAGUCCUUGACAGUUUAUUUAUCAUAUUUGUGAUAUUUUGUACACAUAUGUGUACAAACAAAUAAAAACAGGUGCUGCAUGGCUGUCGUCAGUUCGUGUUGUGAAAUGCUUGGUUAAGUCCUUUUAACGAACGCAACCCUCAUUCUUGUUGCUCUUUAUUAUUUUUUUUAAUAAAGCACUCUCGAAAAUUUAAGAUGAAAAUCUUAAGUAAGAGGAUGACGUCAAGUCCUCAUGGCCCUUAUGGACUGGGCUACACAUGUGCUACAAUGGCGUUUACAAAAGGAAGCAAUAAUAAAAAUUGGAGCAAAACCUUAAAAAACGUCUUAGUUCAGAUUGUUCUCUGCAACUCGAGAAUAUAAAGUUGGAAUCGCUAGUAAUCGUAGAUCAGCACGCUACGGUGAAUAUGUAAACUGGUUUUGCACACACCGCCCGU